UGACAGAUGAAAACGUCAUUUUAAAGUGAUUUUUCGCUAACGUUAUAAGUUGUUGAAAGCUCGUCAGAUGCAAUCUCAUAUGUCAUAUGAUGCAUUGAUAUUCAAAUGUGGUGGCAUUAUUUGUCAGGUGUAAUUGCCAUAGGUAAUUGCAUCUGAGGAAUUCCCAACCAGUCGGAACGUUAAUUCGAGCUCCAAGCAGUUAUUCUGUGGUUGGAGCUUUUAUAUAAUAUAUAAACCCAAUCCAACUGUAUUCUAGUGGUUCGGUUCUUAGCUGAAUAAUUCCAAAAUAGCUCCAACAGAUGGCGCCACAUGUGUUCAAUUUUUAGUACGAAGAUUUUAUUUAGAGAGUUGCAUUUCUACGAAGCUAUUUUCUAUGACUGGGAUCGAAAACACAAAGUGAAGUACUUUGACAAAAAAAUGGUUUUCAUUAAUUUCAUCUGAUGUUGACUUUAGACUGCGUAUGGACUUUGGACCAAGUAUGGAUCAGGUGUCCAGGACUUUAACAUUUUCACCAAUUACUUUAGAUAUAAUUGAUUUGAGUACAGAAUACUCCGCAUAUAAUGGUCGACAUUUAUAUUUAGCUGAGACACAAUUUUAACCAAGUCUUCGUACUGGAUUGAUUAUUCAGUGUCAAUUUUUUCAACAAGUUAAAUCCAUUAGUGUUUUCGUUAAAGUCAAACCUUGAUUCAAGAUACUUGAUUGCGUCUCUGUACCAGGAAUCUGCUUUAUUACAGAAAUCCGUAAUGUCACAAUUUUGACAAUUAAUCAAAGAUGACAUACAUAACCUUAUAUCUCAUAAUAAGAUAUAUCAAAUCUUCAUCUCAAAGUCCGUUGAGUAAACAUCCUGUAUAAGUUUAUCCAACUCCAUAUGAACGCUGUUGUUAUAAACGUAUCCCCCCGCAAAGGCCUUGCUGUGACGUCAUUGGAAGAAUUGACAUUUCUAUGUUUUUAUUUAUACAGUGU
This is a non-coding RNA of Onthophagus taurus, 963 nucleotides long. Lineage: Eukaryota; Metazoa; Arthropoda; Insecta; Coleoptera; Scarabaeidae. The record is from RefSeq and is a predicted model, not a curated record.